AUUUCCACCCCUAACAGGAUCGAAUUGAAAUUCCAAUUCCAUCAUCAGCCUUGUUAUUUGAAACCCCUGAUUCUUCUGUCCAAGUUCAAUUGUUUGUAAGUUGAGGCGUUCGAAUCAGAGAUCGAUAGCAAUGUCGACCGUGGAGUCUCCGAGCGCUGUUAGAAAAGUGGUUGUUCAUCUGAGAGCUACUGGUGAUGCCCCUAUACUGAAGCAAGCCAAAUUUAAGAUUCUUGGAACUGACAAGUUUGCGAAAGUGAUUGAGUUUCUAAGAAGGCAACUUCACCGGGAUACGUUGUUUGUGUAUGUCAACAGUGCAUUCUCGCCAAACCCAGAUGAAUUGGUGAUUGAUCUCUAUAAUAAUUUUGGUUUUGAUGGUAAACUGGUGGUCAAUUAUGCUUGCUCCAUGGCAUGGGGCUGACACUCAUGUUUCGGCUGACAGUACCUAUUGAUAGUGUGAACACGAAAUUAUUCCUUCCGCACACAAGACAAGCAAAGGGAAGAUGAGUUGCUGUCCGUUGAAAAAAAAAUCGGACCAGGAGAUGAAGAUAUUUCAUGAUUUUGUCGCCCUAAUGCUUUCCCAUCUGUCCAAGAGUCCAAAAGAAGAAGAAAAAAAUUCCGAUGAUAGAAGGGAUUGACAAAUCCAGUCUGAUAUCGAGACAUGUCAGGUUUGGGAUAUAGCACGGGCUUCAUCUUCAUGGCGGUGGCAGAUAACUCAGUGGAGAGUGGAAGUUCUAAGAAAUUGACUGGAAGUUUUGUAGUUUUCCUUUGGUUUGGGAUAUAGGCGAAUUAUUCAGAGCCUAAAUGCGACACUAUUGUCAUUAGCUAAGUGGGCAUUAAGAACCGCUGCUUCUCUAUCAGUGGUGGACUUUAAUAUCCAAUAAUGACAAUCAAUCCUAUCAGCUGUGAACGAUUAAAUCUGUGUGCGCAGGAAUUAUCGACUAGUUUUUACUCUA
RNA transcript from Prunus persica (peach), 953 nucleotides. It is a transcript of the gene named ubiquitin-like protein ATG12, with no coding region annotated. The record is from RefSeq and is a predicted model, not a curated record. The transcript is spliced from 7 exons. NCBI's taxonomy places the organism in Eukaryota, Viridiplantae, Streptophyta, Magnoliopsida, Rosales, Rosaceae.